This is a long non-coding RNA of Mirounga angustirostris (Northern elephant seal), 1680 nucleotides long. RefSeq lists it as uncharacterized. The record is from RefSeq and is a predicted model, not a curated record. The transcript is spliced from 2 exons. Lineage: Eukaryota; Metazoa; Chordata; Mammalia; Carnivora; Phocidae.
GUUUGGUGCAGCCUCCUAUGCCCCAGAUCUGGGCUUUGCAUUUAGGGAACCUAAGUCCUGGAAGGGAGCUUUGGGCUCAGUCUCCCCCUCCCUAGUCUCAGUCCAUCGUAGAUGUUUGUGUCAUAUGGUGGUUUGAUCUGUACCUGUUGACUCUAGUGGAACAGGCCGGAGUUUCUAAUUAGUUGAAAACCACUCAGUUUCUUUAUGAUGACUCUUUGAAUCUGUAUAGUACCUUACACUUUUAUGUGUGUCGUGGCGGGAUUAUCUACAACAUGCCUAGGGCAUUGAAGUAUUCUGAACCUAAUUUCCAGAUGAGGACACUGAGGCCCAGAGACGGGUAAAUGAUGAACCCCAAAUCAAAUAGCGACUGGGCACAGUAAGAGUCAGGCUUGGGGCCAGGCCUCUCUUCUCGAGCUGGGCUCUCUUCCAUUGUGCUCCCAUGAUAUGUCCUCCCAGCAUGUCAUGGUUUCCAGACUUCACCUCUCCUCACCCACAUCCCUGUGCUACCUCUUCCAACUUUACUUUUUAUUUCUGUGCCGUUGGUGCAGCCUCCACAGAUGGAGGCCAUCCUGAGCUGAAGGCUGAGGGAGCAGGGCUGGGAAGCAUGUUGAGAAUUAGCCUCUUCUAGAUUCUGGGUACAUGGGAAUUCCACGAGGAACAUUUUCAAAAUGCACAGUCCUUGGGCCCGACUCCAGCUGUCUGCACCAGCGUGUUCUAGGGUGGAAGACUCCCAGGUGUUUAUGAGGUAUAUGCCCUGGUUAGGAUCAGUGCCUUAAAAGCCUAAGGUGACUCUGAAGACCUGGAGCCAGGCCUCCCAACCUAGCCGAGAGUGGAGUCAAAUCCUCCUGCCUCCACGGAAAUCUCCUGGCAUACAAGAUUGCACUGCCCUCUGGUGGCCACGGGGGGGACCAACAGCUGAUCCAGCUUUGGACCUCCAGCUUUAUCUUAAUUUGGGUGGGUGGGGUAUGGCAGGAGUUCCCCCACGAGCCAGGGUGUGCCAAAGACUUUCUGUGCUUUAGAAUCCAGCCAGCGCAUCUUCUGGGUGGCCCUUAAACUUGAGUAAGAGCAACUGGUCCUCUUAGGGAGGGGAUGGUGGGGCAGGAAUGGCUUGGCUGUCAGAAGCUGCUGCAGGGCUAACUGCAGCCACAGGCUGCACCCUGAGCUGUCCUUUGCUCUUCUACACCAUUACUUGCCCUUAGACUGCAAAGCCUGGCUUGACUGAAAUGUCAUUUGAAAAAGUGAUUAUGGGGCUGUACACCACACCUCACCUCUGGUAGAAAACUGGCCUGUAGGUUAAGUACCUGCCCCAGGUACUUAAUAGAGUAGAAUAGAGGCUCUGUAUACCACAGUUCCGUUGGUGAAUUCAUUUACUCAGCUGGAUACUGACUGAAUCUGCCAGGACUCCUGAAGUUUGCUGGAACCAAGUGAAAAAGCUCAGAGAAAUCCGUGAGGCAGCCAGUACAGCGGGAGCUCCGGAGAGGCUGGUGCUCUGAGGGGCCAGGAGAGACUGCAUGGCUGUAACUGCACUUGAGUUGGCCUGUGGAGGAAGGGGCACACUUUGGCUCUUUGGGAGCUGUGCCUCGCUGGCCACAGCAUAUCGUGGAGAGUGGGGAAGGGCCUGGAGAGCAGUGAGGGGGCUCGGAGCUUGCCGUCAUGAUCCAGAUGAGAGCUGAUGGAGAA